RNAcentral lists this ribosomal RNA (465 nucleotides) under Vreelandella stevensii. Its description in RNAcentral is "partial 16S ribosomal RNA". It matches the Rfam family "Bacterial small subunit ribosomal RNA", at positions 338 to 795 of the family's 1533-position model. Lineage: Bacteria; Pseudomonadati; Pseudomonadota; Gammaproteobacteria; Oceanospirillales; Halomonadaceae. The record is from RNAcentral.
CCUACGGGGGGCUGCAGUGGGGAAUAUUGGACAAUGGGGGGAACCCUGAUCCAGCCAUGCCGCGUGUGUGAAGAAGGCCCUCGGGUUGUAAAGCACUUUCAGUGAGGAAGAACGCCUGGUGGUUAAUACCCAUCAGGAAAGACAUCACUCACAGAAGAAGCACCGGCUAACUCCGUGCCAGCAGCCGCGGUAAUACGGAGGGUGCGAGCGUUAAUCGGAAUUACUGGGCGUAAAGCGCGCGUAGGUGGCUUGAUAAGCCGGUUGUGAAAGCCCCGGGCUCAACCUGGGAACUGCAUCCGGAACUGUCAGGCUAGAGUGCAGGAGAGGAAGGUAGAAGUCCCGGUGUAGAGGUGAAAUGCGUAGAGAUCGGGAGGAAUACCAGUGGCGAAGGCGGCCUUCUGGACUGACACUGACACUGAGGUGCGAAAGCGUGGGUAGCAAACAGGAUUAGAUACCCCGGUAGUC